UCCCGCUUGCGGGGGUGAUUAGUGGCGAACGGGUGAGUAAUACGUGAGUAACCUGCCCUUGACUCUGGGAUAAGCCUGGGAAACCGGGUCUAAUACUGGAUACGACCCUCCAUCGCAUGGUGGGGGGUGGAAAGGGUUUGACUGGUUUUGGAUGGGCUCACGGCCUAUCAGCUUGUUGGUGGGGUAAUGGCUCACCAAGGCGACGACGGGUAGCCGGCCUGAGAGGGUGACCGGCCACACUGGGACUGAGACACGGCCCAGACUCCUACGGGAGGCAGCAGUGGGGAAUAUUGCACAAUGGGCGGAAGCCUGAUGCAGCGACGCCGCGUGAGGGAUGACGGCCUUCGGGUUGUAAACCUCUUUCAGCAGGGAAGAAGCCACAAGUGACGGUACCUGCAGAAGAAGCGCCGGCUAACUACGUGCCAGCAGCCGCGGUAAUACGUAGGGCGCAAGCGUUGUCCGGAAUUAUUGGGCGUAAAGAGCUCGUAGGCGGUUUGUCGCGUCUGCUGUGAAAGCCCGGGGCUCAACCCCGGGUCUGCAGUGGGUACGGGCAGACUAGAGUGCAGUAGGGGAGACUGGAAUUCCUGGUGUAGCGGUGAAAUGCGCAGAUAUCAGGAGGAACACCGAUGGCGAAGGCAGGUCUCUGGGCUGUUACUGACGCUGAGGAGCGAAAGCAUGGGGAGCGAACAGGAUUAGAUACCCUGGUAGUCCAUGCCGUAAACGUUGGGCACUA
This 733-nucleotide ribosomal RNA is filed under the name Kocuria sp. RNAcentral describes it as "bacterial SSU rRNA". It matches the Rfam family "Bacterial small subunit ribosomal RNA", at positions 74 to 818 of the family's 1533-position model. Lineage: Bacteria; Bacillati; Actinomycetota; Actinomycetes; Micrococcales; Micrococcaceae. The record is from RNAcentral.